Molecule: long non-coding RNA, 472 nt
Organism: Cucurbita moschata (crookneck pumpkin)
Lineage: Eukaryota; Viridiplantae; Streptophyta; Magnoliopsida; Cucurbitales; Cucurbitaceae
Exons: 2
Source: RefSeq, a predicted model, not a curated record
UUUGUUGUGGAUGCACUGGGAGAUGCACUGGAGUUGUCCCUUGUCUCUUCAUUUGGGGAAACUUCAACUAUUUUUCAUCAAGCUUUUGACGAAUUUGAGGAUGUUUCAAAGCAUAAGCAACACAACCAAAGAUUCGUAAAUGACUUACAGAUGGUUUUCUUCCAUGUUAUGCUUCAUAAGGAGUUCGAUUCAUAACCGCCUUUGUUGGUAAGAUGUUUAAUAGAUAAACAGAUGUUGCUACGGCUUCUGCCCAAAAUUGGUUUGGAAGUCUCCUUGCUUGUAACAUACUUCUUGCCAUCUCCACAGUAGUUCGAUUUUUUCGUUCAGCGAUUCCAUUUUGUUAUGGAGUGUAGAGAGCUGUUAAUUCCCUUUGGAUGCCCUCUUCUUCACAAAAGAGAUUGAACUCUUUAGAUAUGAACUCACCACCUCUGUCUGUGCGAAGAACUUUAAUGUGACAGCCACUUUGGUUCUC